This is a small nuclear RNA of Zalophus californianus (California sea lion), 108 nucleotides long. The record is from Ensembl. Lineage: Eukaryota; Metazoa; Chordata; Mammalia; Carnivora; Otariidae.
ACUUUGGCAGCACAUAUGGUAACUGGUAACAUCAGUCUGAUACAGAGAAGAUCAGUGCGGCCCAUGCACAACGAUGACAUGCAAAUUCAGGAAGCGUUCUGUGCUUUU